GGGUCUGUAGCUCAGGUGGUUAGAGCGCAUCCCUGAUAAGGAUGAGGUCAUAAGUUCGAGUCUUAUUAGACCCACCA
RNAcentral lists this transfer RNA (77 nucleotides) under bacterium UBP9_UBA11836. Its description in RNAcentral is "tRNA-Ile". It matches the Rfam family "tRNA". From Rfam's summary of the family: Transfer RNA (tRNA) molecules are approximately 80 nucleotides in length. Their secondary structure includes four short double-helical elements and three loops (D, anti-codon, and T loops). RNAcentral also lists the same sequence under 1 other name. The record is from RNAcentral.